UCCCCUCCUUUCUAAGGAUUUUUACAUGACGUACGUUUUGACACUUUGUUCAGUUUUGAGAGUUCAAUCUCUCAAUUAUAGAAAGCACACUACUUUCUUCUUAUCUAAUAAGAAGAAUUUUGGUUGCGAUUGUUCUUUGAAAACUAGAUAACAGUAAUUGCUGAGGAAAAGUGAAACUUUUCUUUAAUCAAAUCAAUAAAUAACACAACAUUAUGUUGUACCAUUUAUUCGCUAAUGGUUAAGUUAGAAAGGGCGCACGGUGAAUGCCUUGGCACUAGGAGCCGAUGAAGGACGGGACUAACACCGAUAUGCUUCGGGGAGCUGUAAGUGAGCUUUGAUCCGGAGAUUUCCGAAU
RNAcentral lists this unclassified non-coding RNA (355 nucleotides) under Priestia megaterium. RNAcentral's name for it is "Bacillus megaterium partial contains 16S ribosomal RNA, 16S-23S ribosomal RNA intergenic spacer, and 23S ribosomal RNA". The stretch from base 237 to 355 matches the Rfam family "Bacterial large subunit ribosomal RNA", at positions 1 to 119 of the family's 2925-position model. Lineage: Bacteria; Bacillati; Bacillota; Bacilli; Caryophanales; Bacillaceae. The record is from RNAcentral.